RNAcentral lists this ribosomal RNA (492 nucleotides) under uncultured bacterium. RNAcentral's name for it is "partial 16S ribosomal RNA". It matches the Rfam family "Bacterial small subunit ribosomal RNA", at positions 29 to 507 of the family's 1533-position model. The record is from RNAcentral.
AGUGAACGCUGGCGGUAGGCCUAACACAUGCAAGUCGAACGGCAGCACAGUAAGAGCUUGCUCUUACGGGUGGCGAGUGGCGGACGGGUGAGGAAUACAUCGGAAUCUACUUUUUCGUGGGGGAUAACGUAGGGAAACUUACGCUAAUACCGCAUACGACCUACGGGUGAAAGCAGGGGAUCUUCGGACCUUGCGCGAUUGAAUGAGCCGAUGUCGGAUUAGCUAGUUGGCGGGGUAAAGGCCCACCAAGGCGACGAUCCGUAGCUGGUCUGAGAGGAUGAUCAGCCACACUGGAACUGAGACACGGUCCAGACUCCUACGGGAGGCAGCAGCGGGGAAUAUUGGACAAUGGGCGCAAGCCUGAUCCAGCCAUACCGCGUGGGUGAAGAAGGCCUUCGGGUUGUAAAGCCCUUUUGUUGGGAAAGAAAAGCAGCAGGUUAAUACCCCGCUGUUCUGACGGUACCCAAAGAAUAAGCACCGGCUAACUUUGUG